AUUGAACGCUGGCGGCAUGCCUUACACAUGCAAGUCGAACGGCAGCGGACCUUCGGGUGCCGGCGAGUGGCGAACGGGUGAGUAAUAUAUCGGGAACGUACCUUUCAGUGGGGGAUAACGUAGCGAAAGUUACGCUAAUACCGCAUAUUCUGUGAGCAGGAAAGCAGGGGAUCGCAAGACCUUGCGCUGGAUUGAGCGGCCGAUAUCAGAUUAGCUAGUUGGGUGAGGUAAAGGCUCACCAAGGCGACGAUCUGUAGCGGGUCUGAGAGGAUGAUCCGCCACACUGGAACUGAGACACGGUCCAGACUCCUACGGGAGGCAGCAGUGGGGAAUUUUGGACAAUGGGCGCAAGCCUGAUCCAGCCAUGCCGCGUGAGUGAAGAAGGCCUGG
RNAcentral lists this ribosomal RNA (390 nucleotides) under uncultured bacterium. RNAcentral's name for it is "bacterial SSU rRNA". It matches the Rfam family "Bacterial small subunit ribosomal RNA", at positions 30 to 419 of the family's 1533-position model. The record is from RNAcentral.